ACGGCAUCAUCUGGAAGCCAGGACGGAACCAAUC
This 34-nucleotide unclassified non-coding RNA is filed under the name Pseudorhizobium banfieldiae. RNAcentral describes it as "Rhizobium sp. NT-26 p27_CRE". Lineage: Bacteria; Pseudomonadati; Pseudomonadota; Alphaproteobacteria; Hyphomicrobiales; Rhizobiaceae. The record is from RNAcentral.